GGUAAGAUAGCUCAGUGGUUAAGUGUUUGCCUAGCAUGGAAAAGGCCCUGAGUUCGACCCUCAGUACCA
Molecule: transfer RNA, 69 nt
Filed under: Marmota monax (woodchuck)
Lineage: Eukaryota; Metazoa; Chordata; Mammalia; Rodentia; Sciuridae
Rfam family: tRNA
About the family: Transfer RNA (tRNA) molecules are approximately 80 nucleotides in length. Their secondary structure includes four short double-helical elements and three loops (D, anti-codon, and T loops).
Source: Rfam by way of RNAcentral